Molecule: ribosomal RNA, 552 nt
Filed under: uncultured Nitrospira sp.
Lineage: Bacteria; Pseudomonadati; Nitrospirota; Nitrospiria; Nitrospirales; Nitrospiraceae
Description: bacterial SSU rRNA
Rfam family: Bacterial small subunit ribosomal RNA
Source: RNAcentral
GAUUAGAGUUUGAUCCUGGCUCAGAACGAACGCUGGCGGCGCGCCUAAUACAUGCAAGUCGAGCGAGAAGACGUAGCAAUACGUUUGUAAAGCGGCGAACGGGUGAGGAAUACAUGGGUAACCUACCCUCGAGUGGGGAAUAACUAGCCGAAAGGUUAGCUAAUACCGCAUACGACUCCUGGUCUGCGGAUCGGGAGGGAAAGCGAUACCGUGGGUAUCGCGCUCUUGGAUGGGCUCAUGUCCUAUCAGCUUGUUGGUGAGGUAAUGGCUCACCAAGGCUUCGACGGGUAGCUGGUCUGAGAGGACGAUCAGCCACACUGGCACUGCGACACGGGCCAGACUCCUACGGGAGGCAGCAGUAAGGAAUAUUGCGCAAUGGGCGACAGCCUGACGCAGCGACGCCGCGUGGGGGAUGAAGGUCUUCGGAUUGUAAACCCCUUUCGGCAGGGAAGAUGGAACGGGUAACCGUUCGGACGGUACCUGCAGAAGCAGCCACGGCUAACUUCGUGCCAGCAGCCGCGGUAAUACGAAGGUGGCAAGCGUUGUUCGGAU